This is a long non-coding RNA of Spodoptera frugiperda (fall armyworm), 788 nucleotides long. RefSeq lists it as uncharacterized. The record is from RefSeq and is a predicted model, not a curated record. The transcript is spliced from 2 exons. NCBI's taxonomy places the organism in Eukaryota, Metazoa, Arthropoda, Insecta, Lepidoptera, Noctuidae.
UAAUCAGACCCAUCGAAAAAUUUUAAUACUUACAGAUUUAUUUAUUUUUUUGACGUUGCCCCACAUUAGGAUUUUCUCCCGUGUCGUGGGUGCGUUUACAAACAUACAAGUUCACAUACACAUGACACCCAGACUCAGAACAACAAUUUGUGGAUCACACAAAGAGUUGCUCCAUGCGGGAAUCGAACCCGCUACCCGUUGCGCGGCAGCCAGUUGCCCAGCCACCGCACAAACCGUGCAGUUAUUUAAGAGUUUAUUACAACAAUGAAUGAUACCUACCUAAAUAUAACUUGUUCGAUAUUAGCACAAACAGAACAACGAACUUUUUUAAAAUAACUUAUUUUGUACUAAUAGCUAUUGUUUACGGAUAUAGAUAAUGCAAUUAUAUCAUUUGCCUCUUUACUGAUAUAAGUCUGUAUAAAUAGGGAAUGCGUUCUUCAUAAUUCGUAGUAUCAGUGCAGUCUCGAGACAAGUGGACAUACAAUAAUUAUACAAAUAUGAAGUUCUACCUCUUUGCUAUUGUUAUGCUUAUGGCAGUAGUUUCAGUGGUACUGGCUGCUCCUGGUGGACUGAUAGUUCCACCAUGUCCAUUAAGAAACCAACGUGAUCGUGCCGGAAAUUGCUAUGACCCUGAUAAUUAGUACAGAGUUGUCCGACAUAUUGUAUCAUUGACAACAGUUAUGAAGAAGAUGUGAUCAAACCCUUCACGGCUCACAACAAAUCACAGAAUUGUAACAUCAACAACAGUUUCUAAAAAUGUCAUUACUCAAAUAAAUGUACACAUUUUA